This is a long non-coding RNA of Marmota monax (woodchuck), 2219 nucleotides long. RefSeq lists it as uncharacterized. The transcript is spliced from 2 exons. NCBI's taxonomy places the organism in Eukaryota, Metazoa, Chordata, Mammalia, Rodentia, Sciuridae. The record is from RefSeq and is a predicted model, not a curated record.
UGAGCAGGGUUCACCCGCCGAAGAGCACACACGGGGUUGAAGAGAAAGUGAAAACGCAAGGCCUAUUCCAAGACUCCCAAUCUCAGCGACCAAGGAUUUUUUUGGAGUUGCAGUCAUCAGAGAUCCAAGUCUCCGUUUGAACAGAGGCUAGCUUUGAACUUGCGGUCCUCCUGCCUCAGCCUCCCAAGCCACUGGGAUUACAGGGGUGCGCCACCACACCAGGCCCUACAAGAAUCUUGGGAAGACAAUGGAUCAGCCUCAGGUCUGUUUCCAGAAACAAAUCCCUGGUGAAGAUGGGAAGAAGAUUCCAGAACAGUGUUGUGUCUGUGCGUACCGAUUCCAGUAAAAUGGAAAUGACCCCUCCCCAUCUUGCGUCUUCCUUCACCCUGCUCCACUUGGCAUCUGACUGGUGGGUUCUACGUCACCUGUCUGCAUGCUGGCAGCAGAGGAGGCUGGGUGUAGUUGGUUUUGUUUUGCAUAUUUGUUUCUAUGUUGGGGGAAAAUAUCAAAUUUGGAAAACGUAUCCUAAAGAUUCUGAGCUGUUUCAAAAGGUACAGACCUGCUUCAGUAGUGAGGGGAUUAAGAUUAGGGUCAGGUAUUAAGUGGGUCACCAAGAAGGAAAAUAGCCUGUUCAGGAGGGAAAUGGGAUUUCACUUUUGGGCCUGUUGAAUGUGCAGUGCCCGUGAUAUCCAGGAAGUAGCUGGAAAGAUCUUGUUUAAUCCUCCAGGCAAACUGCAAAAUUUAUGUUAUGGUCUACUUGCUCUAAUAUUGCACAAUAAGAAAGUGGGGAAACAGGGCAUGAAUCUAGGACAUUUGGGCUCUAAAAGCUGUUUUUUUCCUAUGUCACAAAUACCAUCUUCCAACUUUAUUGUCAUCCUUUCAAUUCUGCUCAUCUUUGGUUAAUCAUUAAUUCUUUUAACUCUAUUUGUACUCUAACAUCAUGGACAUCUCACUAUUUGUCUCCGUCAAACACCACGUCACCCUAACUUCCUGAAAGUCAUACCAAGGUCACAAGUUUGUGCUCCAUCAUUUCUGCUUAAUGAACUUUGGGCAUGUGUCCUGUGAGAAGAUAAGUUCUGAAUUGUGGCCUUCAAAACAAAAUUAGAGUAGAAAAUUCUUAUCUUGGCACUCCUUGUAUUAGUCACUGUUUCACUGCUGUAAUAAAACACUGGAGUCAGUCUACUUUGUAAAGAAAAGAGGUUUAUUUAGCUCAUUGUUUUGGAGGCUAGAAGCCCAAGCUUAGACAGCCCCACUGGUUUGGCCUCUAGUGAGGGCCUACUGGUAAAUGGCACCAUGGUGGGAACACAUGCAAGAGGGAGAGAUAACAUGGCCAGAUGGGAGGCCAGGAUUACGUGGAGACCAGACUUGUUUAUUUUACAAAACACUCUCAAGAGAACUAACUCAGGGGUUUUCACUAACUCAGGGGCCCUUCUGAGGGCUUGCCCCCAGUGACGGAAGGACUUCCCACUAGGUUCUUACCAUUAAUAUUUCCACAUGGCCUCUACACUCCAAACUAGGGCCAAACAUACCAAUGCAUGAACCUUGGGGGGCAAAUCAUAGCACUCCCCAAUUUCCUUGUUUUGUAUAUUUCUUCCCCUUAUCACGUCCUUAUUUCAUUACAAUCUCAAUACAUUCACUGGAUAGAAAAGUAGCUAGAUUCUUUCUUGCUAAAGGGUUAUAACUUUAAUGUAUUAGCCCUCUCAGGGGCUUUGCAUUUCCACAGAUGUUGAAACAUUUAAGAAUGCAAUUGGAAAAGUAGUUUGGGGGAUUUCUUUCCUUUUUUCUUUAUUUUUUUCAUUCACUGUUUAAAUCACCACCAAAAUUUUCUGUCUUCAGAGGGGUCGACCUGGCAGCCUCAUCCCUGCUUAAGAAAGAGUUUCUCAAAUUCCAUCAGGCUCGUCUGUAGAAAUGUCAUAUUGAUUCUACAGUUUAUAUUAAAAUGCCAAGAGUUUAUAAUUUAGCCAAAACAAUUUUGGAAAGGAAGAACAAAAUUGGAAGAUGUAUAGUGCCUGGAUUUCAAAACUUAUUAUAAAGCUACAGUAAUCAACACCGUGUGGUAUUGACAAAGGGUAGCCACAAUAUGAAUGGAAAAGUAGAAUCCAGAAAGAGAGCCACAUUGGGCUCCAGUUGGUAGAGUGCUUGCCUUGUGUGCACAAGGCCCUGGGUUCAAGUCCCAGCACCACAAAAAAAAAAAAAAAAAGAAAAAAGAAAGAAAGAAA